This 401-nucleotide ribosomal RNA is filed under the name uncultured bacterium. RNAcentral's name for it is "partial 16S ribosomal RNA". It matches the Rfam family "Archaeal small subunit ribosomal RNA", at positions 473 to 873 of the family's 1478-position model. The record is from RNAcentral.
ACACCGGCAGCUCUAGUGGUAGCUGUUUUUAUUGGGCCUAAAGCGUUCGUAGCCGGUUUGGUAAGUCACUGGUGAAAUCCUGUAGCUUAACUAUGGGCAUUGCUGGUGAUACUGUUGAACUUGAGGUCGGGAGAGGUUAGCGGUACUCCCAGGGUAGAGGUGAAAUUCUGUAAUCCUGGGAGGACCAACUGUGGCGAAGGCGGCUAACUGGAACGAACCUGACGGUGAGGGACGAAAGCUAGGGGCGCGAACCGGAUUAGAUACCCGGGUAGUCCUAGCCGUAAACGAUGCGGACUUGGUGUUGGGAUGGCUUUGAGCCGCUCCGGUGCCGAAGGGAAGCUGUUAAGUCCGCCGCCUGGGAAGUACGGUCGCAAGACUGAAACUUAAAGGAAUUGACGGGG